UACGAAGGGGGCUAGCGUUGCUCGGAAUUACUGGGCGUAAAGCGCACGUAGGCGGUUCGCCAAGUCGGAUGUGAAAGCCCUGGGCUCAACCCAGGAAGUGCAUUCGAAACUAGCGGACUUGAGUAUGGAAGAGGGUCGCGGAAUUCCCGGUGUAGAGGUGAAAUUCGUAGAUAUCGGGAGGAACACCAGUGGCGAAGGCGGCGACCUGGGCCAAUACUGACGCUGAGGUGCGAAAGCGUGGGGAGCAAACAGG
Molecule: ribosomal RNA, 253 nt
Filed under: uncultured bacterium
Lineage: Bacteria
Description: partial 16S ribosomal RNA
Rfam family: Bacterial small subunit ribosomal RNA
Source: RNAcentral